This is a long non-coding RNA of Culex pipiens pallens (northern house mosquito), 6691 nucleotides long. RefSeq lists it as uncharacterized. Lineage: Eukaryota; Metazoa; Arthropoda; Insecta; Diptera; Culicidae. The transcript has 2 exons. The record is from RefSeq and is a predicted model, not a curated record.
AAGGUGUGGAAAUGAAUGAGCUAUACCUAUAAAUAUGUACAGUUCGGACUCGAUUAUCCGAAGUCCAAACACAAAUUUGACUGCGAAUAAUCGAGUCACGGAAAAUGCUUUUUUCAUGCUUUGAAGUCUGAUAGUAUGGAAUCAAAGAUGGCAGCCAAUAUGGCGGUGAUGAGAUAUAUGGAAAUUCAACUGGAAAUCAACUACAUAAUCGCCGCCCCAAUGUUCAUUAAAAACCCCACCCGAACGAGCUUCUUAAAAUCAGCGCUAUAGGUUUGAACUGUCGAGACUGUUAAAACCCACAGAACUGGCUCCAAGCAACCCGAGUGAACGCGAUACACUAUCCAAACACUAACGGACUUUUACUACUUGCUCCUUAAUUGUUCCAACAAACGCAAUAAUGAAUUUAAAUGCAACACAAUUUCCCAAAAGACAAAAAAGCCACAUGAAUUUUAGGGUAGUGUUUUAGGAUCAAUUGAUAAUCUGAGUUAAAAGGGUAUUAAGAAAAAUAUAAUUCGCAAUUCGCAAUUUUCAGUGUAAGAACGGGCCUUGACCGAUCUUAUGCACCAGGUUCCCGACGAACACGCACUGCCCUUACACCUACAUCUCACCCUUGCUCUGAGUCAGUACGAGCAGCACGCUAGAACACGCUUUGAGUGUUCGUGCCAGGCAUGCACACCUUCUUUUCCGGUUACGCAUUUUAACUCGGCCGGGGGUGGUACAUUACGUAGGGUUUGAUGUAAGUAUAAGCGCCUAACCAUUUAUAGUGUGCCUAUCAAUUUUCAUUAAAGCAAAAACUGUUUUAUUUUUAGUUUGAAUUCAAAAACUAAUUGUUAUUUAGUGUGUAUUGUUUUCUCCUGAAAUCACCCCUAUUGUUGAGUUGUGUUUAUCUGUUGCUAUUUCUUUUGUCGCGGUGUUGUGUUACAAUAUUUUGGUCCUAAGCAUUUUAGAAAAGUUUUUCAAAAGUACAGUAGUAAUAUUUGUGUUAAUCCUUUAAUCAUUCCAUAAAUUGAUUAAGGGCUCGAACCUCACUUGCUUAAGAAAAAGGUGAAGUUUCAAAACAAUGGACAGUGAAGGAAAUAUACUAUGUAGUAAAAGGAAGAUAGUAAUUUAUGAAGUAGAUAUAGAAAUUAACAAUAGUUAAUAAAAAGAGGUAACAAACAAGCUUAGAUUGUAUUGAGGGCAAUUUACAGGGAAGAUGAGAAAUUAUUCAAAUAGAUAAAUAAAGAAAAGGCACAUGAUAAACAAAAUUGACAUCGCUGCCAAAUUAAGGGAAAGCAGACAGUUUUUUACAGCAACAUCAAUUGGUAAAAUAGAGUGGAAAAGCGUUGAGAAAUAAGAGAAUCAAAUAAGUAAAAUCGAAAUUAAAUGGAGGAUAGUAAACAGAAGCCGUUUUAGAAAAUCAGUGAAAACAAAAUAAACAGAAGAUAGCUGAUAGCUGAAAUGGAAAGAAGAGAAACCCCGUUCUGCGAUGCUCAGGUACAUCCACAGCAGUUGACUCAACAUACUGCGAAUCAAAACAAUACCGUCUGCAAUCACAAAUUACUUCCCUUUCCCACAUUGUCGCGCCCCUUUCUUUUAGCCGUCUCUACUCUGACCCUCGCUGGUCAAAGGUUUACGAGUCGUUUCCACAGGCCACCAGCUAGGUUACACCUUGUCAUCAUGAUGACUAAACCAAGCCAACGUGGAGGUAAGAAAAUAGGACACUUGCAAGGAACCAGAGCCAUGCUGUUUUGUUCAAACAGCACUACGGAUGUAGUUGGGCUCCUUCCGGGAUGUUCCUCGCCUAGGUGUGUCAACCGACGAGUAUCAUCAGUAUCAUGCACCCUUGGCCUGCAUUAAGAAAAAUAUAAUACAACAAUAAUUAUAAAUUAAGGGAAAAAACACUUGUUUUUAGUAACAAACUUUUCAUUCUGAAUUUCGUGAUUUCUCGAAAUUUAUUUGUUGCGGUUAACAAUCAAACAACAAAAGUUAAAGUUCCCAGAAGUAAAGAAAACACACAUUCUCGGGCAAUAUUUUCGGGGGCGAAACUUCGAUAGAAUGUUUAACAGUCUUACAGUCCCCCGUCCUGUCACAUUCGUUAAAAGUCUUGUCAUGUUUGCUGAAAGUUAAAGUGGUUGUGGUUUGUAGCUAAUCGUAUUCAGUAUAACCAUAAUAGGCAGGCCUGUAAUACGAUCACCUUACUAAUUUGUGAAUACUUAGCUUUAAAUGUGUAGAUCCCGUCACCGUCGUCAGAUGUAUUGUCCAAACAUGUAUUGGCAAAGGAUUAGCCAAAGAGCAAUCGCGUGCCGUUACUAAUGCAACGUCGUAUACUUAUUUAUUAUAAAUAUGUAUGAUUCGGUUUCGGUUCGCUUCGUCAUCUGUUGCUCUUAGGUGGAUCUAGGCGAGAACUUGCAAGUGUCCUACCUUAUGCCACCACGUGUGCUAAGUUUUCGUCAUCGGCGCCCGGUGGAAACAAAGCUGAUUGAAAGGAUAACUGUAGCUUCGCAUAAUAUCACAUGCCCGAGGAAUUCCAGCAAUCAGGUUUGGCCAGAUAAGGAGGGUGCGAUAAUGUGGGAAAGGGUAUCAAUUUGCAAUUGUAGAAGGUAUUGUUUUGAUUCGCUACAUGUUGAACCAACUGUUGUGAAUGUACCUGGAACUUGCCUGUAACAUUGCAGAACGGGGUCUCUCACCUAUCCUCUUUCAUUUUCAAUUCUCGUAUGUAUUUUACCUAGUAUUACUACUGCAACAAUCUACUUUUUCCUUCUAUAAAAACUCUUUAUAUCCAGAUUUUUAAGCGAGGAUGGCGUUAAUGGGGGGGGGGGGGGGGAGGCGGGAGUGUCGGGAUCGCGCGGUGGUACCAACUUUGAAAAAAAGUGUGACUGUCAUGCCAUGGCACACUUUUUUGUGAUGUUAUUAUAGGGCUCUGUAUGAUUUUGACAUUGUGAUGUUUCAGGUACAUCCUCAACAGUUGGUUAAAUACGCUGCGAAUCAGAACAAUACCUUCUACAAUCAAAAAUGGCUGCCCAUCCUUGGCGAGCUCCAGACACAAAAGAGCGGUGUUUUUCAUUGUUUUAUCAAUUUGACUCAUUAUUUAUACCACUAGAUUGGAUAGUCAGAUCUUCAUAUUGCAGGGCACUUAUGUACUUACAACUUAUGAUAGGGUCUCCAAUAAAAUUUGUGCUCGUUGAAAAGGUCUUUUAAUUAUCUAUCCAACGAUAGAAGAAGUUCAUUUUUCGAGUGAUUUUAUAGCCUUUCCUCAGUGAGGUGAGGAAGGCAAAAAAUGGGACACUGGCAAGCAUCCAAAGCUAAUGCUAUAGGGUAGGGUAGUCAUCAAUGAGACACUUUUGGUUUUUAACAUUCAAUGAUUUUUGAAUUUUUUUAUCAGCAUAUGCCAAAAAUCACUUUCAAUUCAUGUUUUGCAAGAAUUACAUAGAUUUUAAAAAGUUUAUUGAAGUAAAAUCAAAGUGUCUCAUUGUUACCCAUGGGCUGAAAGGAGUGGGGAACAAUGAGACAGCCCUGGAUUCUGGGUAUAUUCUUAAUUUUGGUCAAACCUAAUGAAAGGACAUUGUAGCCCAACUCAUUCCCUAUUAAAUGUCGAAAAAAAUCUGAAGAAAUGUAAGUUUUGGUGUUAACGGCAGCCUACGAGCGAAAAAGUAAUUUUUGUCGAUAAUUUACUUCAACACUCCAGAAUCAAACAAUAAUAAAUAACUUUUCAAGGAAGCGUCCAUAACCAAAGGCGUUCUCUCGAUUGCGAGAUUCCUACUCGAAACAAGGUGUUCGAAGGCUUGAUUGUUGACACACCUUACUUGUGAGAGCCAUUUUAUCAUUGUUCCCUUUGUCUCAUUGAUGACUACACUGAGGAAAAAGAAUGUAAGAUUUUCAUAAGACUACAUCUUUUUUUUUUUUUUUUUUUUUUUUUUUUUUUUUUUUUUUUUUUUUUUUUUUUUUUUUAUAAGACUACAUCUUAUGUGCUGCCUGAUUUGAGUAUCCACUAGGCUCUCGCGAUUUUCAUAGACAAUCUUAUGACCGUCACUAUAAAUUCAUAUGGUUAUAACUAAACUUUACUUAUGUAUUUGGUCCACUGUUGAUAGACUAUGGACUUCAUAAGAAAUUCUUAUGGAAUUCAUCUGUAAUUUUUGAAUGGUUUUCGCGUAUGAUGCUAGUGUGAAAUUUUUUGACAUUUCAAGAUGGCGAAAGGACGGAUCGAGCAGACAAUUUUAAACGCUCGCUACUCUAAAUCGGCCCGUAGUUCGUUCCGGUAACUACUUCACAAAGCUGCCGCCGCCGCUAUGAGUUUUACCGCGACCUCCAAGACACAGGUAAUAUCAAUGGCCGUUGGUUCCGCCGGCGGCCCUCCCCAGCAUCCUCCAGAAGGAUCCGGAGAAUAGCAUCGGCGAGGACAGUUCGGAGCAGCGGUCGAAGGUUUAAGUUUGAUUGACGCGGUCAUGCCGAAGGUGGUGGCCAUCCGGCAGAACAUGCCGAAUCACCAACAAAAGACGAUUAAACCGGAGGCUGCGUAAACCAACGGGACGACGAGCAGCGGAAGGAAAUGAAGUUUUGGUUAUAUUAUUAUCCUUGGCAUGAUAUUGAUCCUUGCACUGUAACUUGGAUUUGGCCCGCACUUUUCUCUCGCACUUUUGACAACAAAAUUUCCAAAAACUAGGCAACCAGCAGUUGUUUAUUUACAUUUCCAUUCGCAGUUUCCACCAUACUGGACAUUCGCAAUUUAAAAUUGCGAUUGACAGGUGAGCAACAUCGGCUCGCUUUGAUCAUUUUUUGAGAAAAUUAAAAUUUCCCAAGCCAGUUUGACAAGUCGCAAUAGUGCGAUCGAUAGCAAUAAUUUAGUGCGAAGUCCAGGUUAGUGAGAAUUGCGCAAUAUUUUAACAUUCUGCGGUUCUAGAGAGCGUCAGUAUGGCUACUGCGCAAAGUGCGGCGGUAUGUUCUGAACUGUAGGUUGGCUGCGACUAUAAAGCGCACUUUGAUUAGCGCAAAGAAUUUUACAACCACGUGUCAUUUCAGGAUACCAAAAACCAGCAUGGCACCCCGAGCAUGCUUUGCUUAUUUCAGAAUUUUUACAACCACGUUAUUUAUUCCGAUAUGAAAAGAAGCAUGUUGAUCGAGCAUGCCAACAAUUGAGCCUACUAAGGGACCUUUGCGAUUUCCGCAACGGCGGGAUACGAUCGCAGCGGAAUGAUAAUUAAUCCUGAUACCCGCAAUACGAUAAGUUAAAAAUAUAUACGUUAAAAACUUAAAUAUUUUUUUGUUUUCAUUCAAUUAAAAAUAAGAAAAAAUAGGUAUAAAAAACAAUGUUUAUUAAUAUAAUCUCCAUGAGCAUUGCCAUAUAUUCUGUACACAAUUCCAUCUAUGAAUGUCAUAAGAUAACUCAAUGGAAAUCUUAAUUGACGGCUUUGUCAAAUUUCCCCUCCCAGCCAUAAGAAAAUCUUAUGACAUCCGAAUAAAAUCCUGAUGUCGAAAGGUCAUAAGACGUUCUUAUGGAUUUUGCCAGUACUUUUUUCUGAGUGUACUCUACCAGACUGUUCUGAUAAAAUAAUUCGAAUGAUCUAAAAGAACCACAGACGUAGUCAGUUAUGGUUCUUCCAGGAUGUUCCUUACCUGGGUGUCAACCAAAGAGGUAUCGAGCCUUGCAAGGCCUCGAACCUUAUGCUUUAUGAAGGAGAUGUAGUAAAAAGUAAAGUAAAUCUUUCCCAGUUCCUGAGGGGAACACCCGUGAAGAGUAUCGGGGCCGGCAUUUACAAAGCGGAUUCAGUGGCAGUUUUUCACUCAACUAAUGUUAACAUGUUUAGGUUAAUUUUAACAUUCCAUAGGUUCCCUUUACUAAGCAAUCGAAUCCAGAAGGGAAAAGAUCACCAGUUGUGUUGGUCCGAGCCGGGAUUUGAACCCCGAUCUACCGCUUACGAGGCGGAAGCGUUACCACUAGGCUACGUGGCUCGGACUGAGAUGUAGUAAGGCCGUUGCAAAUAUUUUUUGAAAUUUAUAUGUUAGUAAAUUUCAUGUUUUUAUGAAACAAACGUUAUAAAAAAAACGUUUUUGAGCGAGCAAAAUAAAAAUAUCCAAAACAGGGGCAGGGGGGGGGGGGGGGGCAGAAAGGACCACCCGGGGUUUUGGGCUUUAGAAUGGAUUUAGACCAACUGUAAGGCUAGGGUCUUAUAAAGGACGUCAAAUAAUAUCAUCACACCGAAAAGGACGUUUAAAUUCAUUGUAUUAUUCGAAUUAUGUUUAUAAUGUUACCAGAAGCUAUUAGCCAAAUCUAAACGUAGAAAUAUGUACGCUCCCUGCAAAGGCCUAUGCAUUGAUCUCAGUUGAAAGAUUCUCCAAAUUCCUGCAUUUUAAAUGUAAUAUCCUGGAGUAGAACUGUUAAAUUCUAAUGAAAACACAAUUGAAAUAAUUAUAAAAUCCAUUUUUCAUUUCGUCCAGAAAAAUAAAAGUUUGCAUGUGAUUGAAACCACAAUUUUCGAGUCGCAAAAACGUGCUGACAAUAUCCACAAAAAAGAGCAUAAAACCCCCGAUGCGAACUAAUCGCUGUGAACUACUCCCAAUCUAUGCGCAAGAGAAACCUGUUUUUGCACGAUUAAUAGCUCCAACCAGUGAAACCCCGAUCGAUAAUUGAUGGCAGCGUAAUUUGUAUCUAAGCUCGUAGAGGAGCGUUCUUUUAUUACGUAACGCAGCUGGGGGGUCGGAGACCCUGUUACGC